This 118-nucleotide microRNA precursor is filed under the name Populus trichocarpa (black cottonwood). RNAcentral describes it as "miR6464 stem-loop (ptc-MIR6464)". The record is from miRBase by way of RNAcentral. Lineage: Eukaryota; Viridiplantae; Streptophyta; Magnoliopsida; Malpighiales; Salicaceae.
AGAUGAUAUUUUUUUAUUUUGAAAAUUAUGAUUGCUUGUUGGAUAUUAUACAUAUUAUAUAAUAUGUAUAAUAUCCAACAAGCAAUCAUAAUUUCUUGCAAAGCGAUGAGAAUUCACU